RNAcentral lists this unclassified non-coding RNA (246 nucleotides) under Hevea brasiliensis (rubber tree). Lineage: Eukaryota; Viridiplantae; Streptophyta; Magnoliopsida; Malpighiales; Euphorbiaceae. The record is from RNAcentral.
UGUAUAGGGGAUCAGCUCCCACAUAUGUACUGUUUGAACAGUGUUGGGUGUGUGAAUGCUCCAAAUUGCCUUUUUGCUGUUAUGAUGUGAUGCAUAUAAAAAUUUUGAGAGUGUUGCAUUCCACUUUUUAGGAUGCAUUAGCUUUAGAUAGCAAUAGAAAUUAUGGUUAAAAUUAGUAUUUUACUAUCUGAGUUGAACGCUCAUUCCUGUUCACCUAUUUUUCCAUGCUACAGGAGGAGUUCUUUU